CCUACGGGAGGCAGCAGUGGGGAAUAUUGCACAAUGGGGGAAACCCUGAUGCAGCGACGCCGCGUGAGUGAAGAAGUAAUUCGUUAUGUAAAGCUCUAUCAGCAGGGAAGAAAAUGACGGUACCUGAGUAAGAAGCCCCGGCUAACUACGUGCCAGCAGCCGCGGUAAUACGUAGGGGGCAAGCGUUAUCCGGAAUUACUGGGUGUAAAGGGAGCGUAGACGGCAGUGCAAGUCUGGAGUGAAAGGCGGGGGGUCAACCCCCGGACUGCUCUGGAAACUGUACGGCUGGAGUGCAGGAGAGGUAAGUGGAAUUCCUAGUGUAGCGGGGAAAUGCGUAGAUAUUAGGAGGAACACCAGUGGCGAAGGCGGCUUACUGGACUGUAACUGACGUUGAGGCUCGAAAGCGUGGGGAGCAAACAGGAUUAGAUACCCGAGUAGUC
This 440-nucleotide ribosomal RNA is filed under the name uncultured bacterium. RNAcentral describes it as "partial 16S ribosomal RNA". It matches the Rfam family "Bacterial small subunit ribosomal RNA", at positions 338 to 795 of the family's 1533-position model. The record is from RNAcentral.